RNAcentral lists this long non-coding RNA (2841 nucleotides) under Olea europaea (common olive). RNAcentral's name for it is "long non-coding RNA (OEUR_LNC005165)". The record is from RNAcentral. Lineage: Eukaryota; Viridiplantae; Streptophyta; Magnoliopsida; Lamiales; Oleaceae.
AGGCACUUGAGAUAUGCAUUGUAAAUCCCCUUUGUUAAAGCUGUCCAUCACUAAGCCAUUGAAUUUUUGGACAAACUAGUCCAAAAUCAAAUCUAUCCAUCUUGGUUUGUCUCGUUGUGCUCUGAUAAGUUUUUUUAUAAACUUAUUUUGGCAUCCUCCUUAACUUGGCAUUUAGAUAAUUAUUUUUGGUCCAUUUCUGUUCCUUCUUAAAGUACCUCUCCAUGAAAACUAUGUCCAUGAAAUAAGAACCAGUACCCAGAAUAGUAGUGCUAAGGAUAUAAAAAUUGUGAACAGUACGGAUGGCAUUGCGGAUCUCAAAGAAAAGAGCGGUUGCUCCCAAAGGUAUCAUAAAUUUGUGUUUGGUAACUUGUUUUGGAAGGUUUUUACAUGAUUUUUAAGCUCUAGUUUAGCCCUAUAUAUGGAGGAACCCUUGUACUUAAAUUAUACAAAAUUUUAGAGAAUUAAACACUAAUUCUGUCUUGGGGAUUUUCUUUAAAUUCUGGUUUGUUUGAUUCUUAUGGAAGAGAAGACUUUUCAAUAACUUCUAAAUGAAGUUCAACAUUCUAAGAUUGAUCUCUAUUUUCUUGCCUAUACUCAAGGAAUAUGGGAAUGUACUCAAUCAAUAUCAUGUUUUUGUAAUUCAAGAAUGUUAUGCUAAACUUCAUUACACUAGAAUGACGAUUUAAACAUGGUUUAAAAUUUUAAUUUAAUUUUCCCAUUUUUGACAUCAAUUCAGCUUAGGUUGAUUGUUUGCUAAAUAUUUAUCUUGUUUGAAUUAUUGAUUACCCUUUAAAUGUAUUCAUGGCUUGUAUUGUUUCCUACAAGUCUCAAAUAAGUUUAGGCACAUUUUUAGCAAACAACAUAGAAAUUAAUAAGGAAUAGAGAUAUACUCUUAAGCAUUGUGCAGUCUAUGUUUGAAUGAUAAUUGAAAUUUAAUGUGCUUGUUGAUGGUAGAAUUACGGUCAACAAAUUCCUCUCACCUAACCAUAAUUUUCUCCUCUUAUACUCUCUGAUUUUGAUGCUUAAAAUGAAGCUAGAUUUGAAAUGAAUUUUUGGGAUAGAGAUAUUUGAAUGCGCAUACGUUUCUCCUCUUAGGCAAGUAUUUAUAGAUUUUCUUAGGGGUUUUGGGUCAUUCUAGAAAAAUGACAAGUGGCAAUUGUUUAGUAGUGGGCUAAUAACUAAUUAUGUUAUGUAUUCACGUGUUAUCCAAUAGUUUAAAAAGUCAUGCCUUUUAGAUUUGCCCAUAUGUAUUAAAAUAAUGGUUUUUUUUUUUUAUUUUUUGCCAUCAUUAAGAUGGUUCACCUUGCCUCUUUUGCGAGCCAUCUUUGGUUUAGCUACCUUUGUGCUUUCAGUCUUCGCCUAGGAUUGAAUUUCCAAGAUAGACUUCUUUUUUACAUCAGCAAAUAUUUCUCAAAGUCUGAUUUUAUUAUUCAUAUUAAAUCUAGGACUUGUAUAUUUGAACUGCAAAUCUACAGAUGGCCUUAUUUGAGCAUAUCUCUCCUUGUUUGUUGUGGAUGACAUGAGCUUAUGUUGAGGGAAUGCGUGAUCAUUAUAUAUGUUUUCUCCGUGCGUUAAUGGGCCUAUUUGCAUAUUUCUAGGUGGUAACCCACAUAUGCUCAACGUAGACUAUAUGAUCUCAUCCAUUCGUUGAGAAUCUUGAUCAAGUGCCUCUUAGUAAUCAAUGGUCAUGAUUGUUCAAAAUAAUUUGAAUGGCCUUGAUUAUUUAUGGAGUGAUUAUUUCUCCCGCCAUUCAUUUUCCUUCAAAGGCCCUUUCUUAGGUCCAUGUUUUGCUUUUAUCUUGUUUUCUGUAAGCUUUUUUUAUAAUGCCUUCUCAAAAUGAUUCCCAAAAUAUGUCUUAUGAUUUUAACCUCGAGAGCUCACAGUUUAAGAAUGACUUUCCUAGUGUUUCUUCUUCUUCUUCCAUCUUCCAUAGAAGUUCUAUAUAUUGAGGCGUUACCUUAUUAUGUAGUUACUUAUUUUGGUACUUGCCUUAACCUAGAGCUUCUUAGAUAAAGGGAUAGUUCUCAUUCUAAUAUUGAGGUGCGUGACGAGGUAUGUGAAACCUUGAGUGAAUCUACAAGCCUUAAUGAGAGCGAUGAGGGAAUUUUGGGAAUUUUCUAAGCUUCGAGAACUUUUACCAAUUUUAUUGAAUAGGACUUCAGUGAAAUUCGGGAAAGUUUUAACAUUUCUUUGAUAUAUAAUUAUUGUGUCCUGGGCAGUUUCAAACUACAUAUCGCCUCCUCAUGAUUGUAUAGCAAUUAUAAACACUCAAUGUUUGUAACAUUGCUCCUACCCAACUUACUCCAAAUGGGUAAAGACCAUAUAGUUCGGUCCUUUCUGUUAUAGAGUUUAGCGUGUUUAGAGGGAGAGCUGUCCUUGGAUGGAUUUUGAUCUAUUUAUCAUCUCGUAAAUGUUGAAAAUAAAGGAAAACCUCAANCGUGUUUAGAGGGAGAGCUGUCCUUGGAUGGAUUUUGAUCUAUUUAUCAUCUCGUAAAUGUUGAAAAUAAAGGAAAACCUCAAAAUGGAUAUUACUAGCUUUCUCUAAGUUGUUCCCAAAGUUUGUAAUUACUCCUAAUAAGGUGUAUAACUGGAAUGAGACUUUUUCUUUGUUCGAGGCAAUUGGAGUUUUCAAACUAAUGAUCCCAAUCCUUCUGUUAUUAUGUCUCGAUUAUAUGGUGAAUAAAAUAAGUGUUGGUUCUCUAUUCGUUCUCCCUUUUUAUACUUUCUUUCGUAUGUUGAUUGCUAUAGGUAAGCAGCGAAGAUCCCUUAAAAGUCAAGCUUUUAUUGAGCUUUAUGCUUUAGAAGCACCUAUAUUUGGCUUGAGUUCUGAAACUCGCAAAG